CCUACGGGUGGCAGCAGUGGGGAAUAUUGGGCAAUGGGCGCAAGCCUGACCCAGCAACGCCGCGUGAAGGAAGAAGGCUCUCGGGUUGUAAACUUCUUUUCUGAGGGACGAAGAAAGUGACGGUACCGCAGGAAUAAGCCACGGCCAACUACGCGCCAGCAGCCGCGGUAAUACGUAGGUGGCAAGCGUUAUCCGGAUUUAUUGGGUGUAAAGGGCGUGUAGGCGGGAAAGCAAGUCAGAUGUGAAAACUCAGGGCUCAACCCUGGGCCUGCAUUUGAAACUGUUUUUCUUGAGUGCUGGAGAGGCAGGCGGAAUUCCGGGUGUAGCGGUGAAAUGCGUAGAUAUACGGAGGAACACCAGUGGCGAAGGCGGAUUGCUGGACAGUAACUGACGCUGAGGCGCGAAAGCGUGGGGAGCAAACAGGAUUAGAUACCCCUGUAGUC
RNAcentral lists this ribosomal RNA (443 nucleotides) under uncultured bacterium. RNAcentral's name for it is "partial 16S ribosomal RNA". It matches the Rfam family "Bacterial small subunit ribosomal RNA", at positions 338 to 795 of the family's 1533-position model. The record is from RNAcentral.